ACAAGCAGAUAUGGUGCGAAGCACUAAUAUCACAAGUAGAUAUGAUGCGAAGCACUAAGUGCAAUAAGGAAAUGCAUUCAUACAUAUUCAUCAUAAAAUGUAAAUGCAACAUCCACACACAAGUAGAUAACAGUUUUGAAAAGAUUGUAAUAGCGGCUUAAGUCCUCUAACUGGAGUCCCCAGUAGAGUCGCCACCUGUCGACGUCGG
Molecule: long non-coding RNA, 208 nt
Filed under: Panax ginseng (ginseng)
Lineage: Eukaryota; Viridiplantae; Streptophyta; Magnoliopsida; Apiales; Araliaceae
Description: long non-coding RNA (PGIN_LNC017114)
Source: RNAcentral